GUGGCUGGGUCGACUUGAAGGAGAAAGAAGAAGAAAUAGCUGAAAGCCCUAAUCGCUGGUCUUUUUUUUUUCAACUGCCUUUUUCUUUCUUUCUUUUCAAAAAGCGACGCUACAGGUCGCCUGUCCCUACACAGCGCCUCUCGCUCGCCUUUUUGAAAUCACAACGCAACAGAGGCAAAUAGCGUUGGAGGCUCGCAUCGCAUCGCCUCACGCUAUUAGCGCUGAGGCGAGCGCUAUUUACAACACUGAAUCUAGGAUACACUACGCAAACACUACCCUGAAAUCAAGCAACAAAAAUAAAAUAAAUAACCGAAAUAUAACCUCCAACUACUAGAGGUCACAGAGAAAAUGGGCAAAAUUACUAUAAUAUAGUUUGGGAAGCAAAAAUUAAAGAAAAAGACAAGUAAUCUAGACAGGCAAGUCCUAACUAAUAGCUAAAUAAGGAGGUCUACUAAAAAUGACAGUAAAACAAGUGAUGUUCUAUGGAUAAAGCAAUACAAGUAAGACAAAAUAUCGAGAUCAAUGGUAAAGGCAAGAAAGAUAAUAAUUCAAGAAAGAUAGAACCAGACUGUAAUCGAGACGUGGGGCUUCGCUGGAUUAUCCACCUUUUAAUACAAUAAAAUGUAUUGUUAGUCUUUAUAUUUAGUAUCUCUACAUUACAAUUCUUGCUAACUUAUCUUCGAAUAAAACGAUCCCUAAGUUCAUAGUAGGUUGAUCCAAUCUUUAUAUUAUGUAGUAGGCGUUUGGACAUAAGAAUUAUAAAAUUAAAAAAAAUAGUGAAUUUUUUUUUAAAGUGAAAAUGAUAUUUGAAAAUUAGAGUUGUGUUUGGACAUAAAUAUAAUUUUGUGUUUUUUUGAAGUUUUAUGAGUGAAAAUUUUAAAAAACAUCCUUUUGGAGUUUUUCAAAUUUUUGAAAAUUUCUAAAAUAUAUUUUCAAGUGAAAAAAUAAAAUUUUAUGGCCAAACACUGAUAAUGAAAAAAGUGAUUUUUUUUUUUAAAAAAAGUGAAAUUCUUAUGUCGAAACGGGCUCACGUGGGUAACAAAUAAUUCUUACUUGGACUACAAUAGAAAUUUGAGUUAGUUGAAAGGGAUGGUGAGGUGAUGCGAUGAACUAUCGAACUGCUACUUUUAUCGACGUGGUACUGCUAUCAGUGUCGCAGAUUGUAUAAGAAAUUAGAAAGUGACACAGAUUUAAAGAUUUUUCUUUUGGUCGAAAUAUAUUUCUAUUUCUACUAGAGUGAAAAUUUUCUACUUUUGUUAAACGAUAAAAAUAAAUUUCAAAAGAUUUCUACACUUUCGUUAAAUGAUAAAAAUAAAUUUCUUUACAUAACUAACAUGGCCAAAUUGGCAUAUAAUCUGAAAUACUCAAAAACCAUGUCUAUAUACCUUUGUCUCUUUCGAAAUUUUGUAGUCCGUAAAUUAAGACGUAAAAUUAAAAAAAUAAUCGUCAAAGUUAGUUUCAAGAUUUAAUUUUCUUAUCAUAUAGUCUCUCCGUUUCAAUUUAUCUGAACAUAUUUUCUUUUUAGUCCGUACAAAAAAGAAUGACAUAUUUCCCUAUUUGAAAAUAAUUUACCGUUAUGCAAUAAUUUAUAGCUAUACAGAAUAUAUGUGACCAUAAAUUCAAAAGUCUUCUCUAUUUUCUUAAAUUCCGUGGUCGAUUCACAUAAAUUAGAACGGAAGGAGUAUAAUACUCCAAAUAAGUCAUUUAUGUAAUAAUUCAAAACCAAACAAAAUGAAACAAAUUAAAACCAGACAGAUAUCAGUCACCCCAUUUUCAUACUAGCAUAUUUAUUUUUAUUAUUUGAAAAGAGAAAAAAAAAAAAAAGAGAAGAAAGGAUCAGAUGUAGCCUCCAUUGACACGAAUGAUUUGUCCAUUAACCCAUUCAGAAGCAUCACCUGCCAAAAACCCAACAAACGGCGCAACAUCCUCCGUCUGUCCAAGUCUUCCAUGUGGACACUCAUCAAUUACCCUCUUUAUCAUCUCCUCUGUUUUCCCAUCGUAAAACAUCUCCGUUGCUAUGGGUCCCGGCGCCACGCAAUUCGCCGUUAUUCCAGUCCCUUUCAGCUCCUUCGCCAGUAUCUUUACCAUCGCUUCCACCGCCGCCUUCGAUGCCGUGUAAGCCCCGUAUCCAGGCCUGAACGCCGCCGCUAACGAUGUCGUUAAGCAUAUUAUCCUCCCCCCUCCGCCGCGCUUGAUUCUGCUCGCCCCUUCCUUGCAGCAUAUGAAAGCCCCACGUGCGUUCACUUCGAAGGUCCUGUCGAAGUCCUCCAAGUUUGUGUUUAGGAUUGAUGGGUAUUUACCGUCGAGCACGCCGGCGCAGUUGACUAAGAUGUUGACCGGCGAUUGAAAGGCCGAUUCUGCAGAGUCGAAGAGGGAUUUGACUUGAUCUGGGUCGGAGAUGUUGGCUUUGACGGCGAUGGCACGUGGGGAGGAAUUGGAGGUGGAAUUGAUUUGGGAUACGACGUCGUCGGCUUUUGUGGAGUUGGAGGAAUAGUUGAUGACGAGCUUAGCACCCAGAGACGCUAAAUGAAGGGCGAUGGCUUUGCCGAUGCCACGAGAAGAGCCGGUAACGAUGGCUACUCGAUCUUGGAGUGGGAAGUUUUGGCCUUGGCUUGAUUGCUGAGCAAUAUCGAC
RNAcentral lists this long non-coding RNA (2634 nucleotides) under Nicotiana tabacum (common tobacco). Its description in RNAcentral is "long non-coding RNA (NTAB_LNC003397)". The record is from RNAcentral. Lineage: Eukaryota; Viridiplantae; Streptophyta; Magnoliopsida; Solanales; Solanaceae.